This 396-nucleotide ribosomal RNA is filed under the name uncultured bacterium. RNAcentral describes it as "bacterial SSU rRNA". It matches the Rfam family "Bacterial small subunit ribosomal RNA", at positions 28 to 429 of the family's 1533-position model. The record is from RNAcentral.
GACGAACGCUGGCGGCGUGCUUAACACAUGCAAGUCGAGCGGUAAGGCCCUUUCGGGGGUACACGAGCGGCGAACGGGUGAGUAACACGUGGGUGACCUGCCCUCAGCUCUGGGAUAAGCCUGGGAAACCGGGUCUAAUACCGGAUAUGACUCCACGGCGCAUGUUGUGGGGUGGAAAGCCUUGUGUGGCUAGAGAUGGGCCCGCGGCCUAUCAGCUUGUUGGUGGGGUGANGGCCUACCAAGGCGACGACGGGUAGCCGGCCUGAGAGGGCGACCGGCCACACUGGGACUGAGACACGGCCCAGACUCCUACGGGAGGCAGCAGUGGGGAAUCUUGCGCAAUGGGCGAAAGCCUGACGCAGCGACGCCGCGUGAGGGAUGACGGCCUGGUGUAAC